RNAcentral lists this ribosomal RNA (253 nucleotides) under uncultured bacterium. RNAcentral's name for it is "partial 16S ribosomal RNA". It matches the Rfam family "Bacterial small subunit ribosomal RNA", at positions 524 to 776 of the family's 1533-position model. The record is from RNAcentral.
GACGAAGGGGGCUAGCGUUGUUCGGAAUUACUGGGCGUAAAGCGCGUGUAGGCGGUUGUCUAAGUUGGAUGUGAAAGCCUUGAGCUCAACUCAAGAAAUGCAUUCAGGACUGGGCGGCUAGAGGACCGGAGAGGAUAGUGGAAUUCCCAGUGUAGUGGUGAAAUACGUAGAGAUUGGGAAGAACACCAGUGGCGAAGGCGGCCAUCUGGACGGUUUCUGACACUAAGACUCGAAAGCGUGGGGAGCAAACAGG